This 449-nucleotide ribosomal RNA is filed under the name uncultured bacterium. RNAcentral's name for it is "partial 16S ribosomal RNA". It matches the Rfam family "Bacterial small subunit ribosomal RNA", at positions 28 to 507 of the family's 1533-position model. The record is from RNAcentral.
GAUGAACGCUGGCGGCGUGCCUAAUACAUGCAAGUCGAGCGAACAGACGAGGAGCUUGCUCCUCUGACGUUAGCGGCGGACGGGUGAGUAACGCGUGGGAACGUGCCCUUUUCUGCGGAAUAGUCCUGGGAAACUGGGGGUAAUACCGCAUACGCCCUUUUGGGGAAAGAUUUAUCGGAGAAGGACCGGCCCGCGUUGGAUUAGGUAGUUGGUGGGGUAAUGGCCCACCAAGCCGACGAUCCAUAGCUGGUUUGAGAGGAUGAUCAGCCACACUGGGACUGAGACACGGCCCAGACUCCUACGGGAGGCAGCAGUGGGGAAUCUUAGACAAUGGGGGCAACCCUGAUCUAGCCAUGCCGCGUGAGUGAUGAAGGCCUUAGGGUUGUAAAGCUCUUGCAGCUGGGAAGAUAAUGACGGUACCAGCAGAAGAAGCCCCGGCUAACUCCGUG